AGGGGCUCCUGGGAGAUGUAGUCUGGGGCCUGGAAAGGCGCCGCGCAAAGGACUCUGGGGCUGUUCGUUCAGAGAAAGCGCAAGCGAUAUCCCACCCCUGGCCUGGAGCAACAUCCCUUCGCUCCUCUCCGGGGUCCAUUCGUGUCCGGGCCGGGAUCCCUCAACCUCACGAUCCGGGAGUGGCCGUCCUGAACGGCGCAACGUACCGGAGGCUUCUGGGACGUGCAGCCUGGGCUCGCAGUGCGCAUGCGCGAGCGCGUGCGUUACGGUCCGUGGGUGAGCCUGGCUCCCCAAACCCCUCUGAGCUCCAGGGGCAAAGGGGAGGGUGUUGGGGCUAGAAGCCCCCGGACGGGAACGUGUAGGUGUGGAUGCUGGGGAGGCUGGGUUUGGUUGAAGGGAUCAAGGAAGGGUCUCAGCACCCGAAAACAUCUACGUGAUUUUAUAAAGACAGCAACAAGUGGGGCCCUGGGAAGCGCUAGGCGGCCCUUGCGCGUGCGCGCGGCGCAGCGUGUUCCGAGGGCUGGUGUAGGGGCGGGGCCUCGGGCGGGCACGCGAGCGGCGAUGCCCCCAAGAGCGGCUCUGAGUGCGCGAGCGCGCCUGCGUAUGCCUGCCUGUGAGUGGGUUGGGGGCCUCAGGUCUGUGCCUGUGGAAAGGUCCCGGGAGAGUGUCAGGCUUCCUUGA
RNAcentral lists this long non-coding RNA (681 nucleotides) under Delphinapterus leucas (beluga whale). RNAcentral describes it as "lncRNA (ENSDLEG00000001499.1)". The record is from RNAcentral. Lineage: Eukaryota; Metazoa; Chordata; Mammalia; Artiodactyla; Monodontidae.